This 700-nucleotide ribosomal RNA is filed under the name uncultured bacterium. Its description in RNAcentral is "bacterial SSU rRNA". It matches the Rfam family "Bacterial small subunit ribosomal RNA", at positions 94 to 826 of the family's 1533-position model. The record is from RNAcentral.
AGUGGCGGACGGGUGAGUAACACGUAAGAAUUUGCCUUUAGGAGGGGGACAACAACUGGAAACGGUUGCUAAUACCCCAUAUGCUUUCGAGUGAAAUGGAUUUCCGCCUAAAGAGAAGCUUGCGGCUGAUUAGCUUGUUGGUGAGGUAAUGGCUCACCAAGGCGACGAUCAGUAUCUGGUUUGAGAGGACGAUCAGACACACUGGAACUGAGACACGGUCCAGACUCCUACGGGAGGCAGCAGUGGGGAAUUUUCCGCAAUGGGCGAAAGCCUGACGGAGCAAUACCGCGUGAGGGAUGAAGGCCUAUGGGUUGUAAACCUCUUUUUUCAGGGAGGAAUAAAUGACGUGUACCUGAAGAAUAAGCAUCGGCUAACUCCGUGCCAGCAGCCGCGGUAAGACGGGGGAUGCAAGUGUUAUCCGGAAUCACUGGGCGUAAAGCGUCUGUAGGUGGUUAAAUAAGUCAACUGUUAAAUCUUGAGGCUCAACCUCAAAAUCGCAGUCGAAACUGUUUGACUAGAGUAUAGUAGGGGUAAAGGGAAUUUCCAGUGGAGCGGUGAAAUGCGUAGAUAUUGGAAAGAACACCGAUGGCGAAGGCACUUUACUGGGCUAUUACUAACACUGAGAGACGAAAGCUAGGGUAGCAAAUGGGAUUAGAUACCCCAGUAGUCCUAGCUGUAAACAAUGGAUACUAGAUGUUGA